UUAGAAUCUGAAACAAGAACUCCCAAAACAUUAUUAGAAUCUGAAAAAAAAAAAAAGCUGCAAGAACUCAACAGACCAACACCAAUUGAGAUCAUAUCACAUGCUUAACAAAUUAAAGCUGCAAAAGAAGUGUUAUAAAGAAGUGUUAUAGCUGCAAAUUAAACCCUUUUUCUAUAUUGAUCACAAGUAACCGAUUAAAACCAGAGAUAAGUAUAGUACAAAGCCAAGGAAAUCAAAGUAGAGAAGCAGUCACAAAGUGAAAGAGACCCUAGACCUUAGAGAAGCUAAAAACAAGAAAAUGGUUUUAAACAAGAACCAUUAGCAAAUGCGUAAACUCUGCAACAACAACCACAACUACAUUAUCAAUUAAAGCUGCAAAAAGACAUAAGAAAAUGAGGUGUAAACUGCAUUUGUUCUGCUACACUACUUCUCUAAUCUCCAACAGAGAUUAAAAAAAAAAAGUGAAUUAUUAACACCCUAAUCUAGUCAAGAACACUCUAAUCGAAUCAGUAAAACCUUUAGUAGCAAAAUCAGUGAGCGUAAGNNN
Molecule: long non-coding RNA, 547 nt
Filed under: Capsella rubella
Lineage: Eukaryota; Viridiplantae; Streptophyta; Magnoliopsida; Brassicales; Brassicaceae
Description: long non-coding RNA (CRUB_LNC000241)
Source: RNAcentral